This 518-nucleotide ribosomal RNA is filed under the name uncultured Glomus. RNAcentral describes it as "SSU rRNA". It matches the Rfam family "Eukaryotic small subunit ribosomal RNA", at positions 569 to 1086 of the family's 1831-position model. The record is from RNAcentral. Lineage: Eukaryota; Fungi; Glomeromycota; Glomeromycetes; Glomerales; Glomeraceae.
AGCAGCCGCGGUAAUUCCAGCUCCAAUAGCGUAUAUUAAAGUUGUUGCAGUUAAAAAGCUCGUAGUUGAGUUUCGGGGUCAGUAGGUUGGUCGUGCCACUGGUAUGCACUGGUCUCACUGAUUCCUCCUUCCUGAUGAACCGUAAUGCCAUUAAUUUGGUGUUGCGGGGAAUCUGGACUGUUACUUUGAAAAAAUUAGAGUGUUUAAAGCAGGCUAACGCUUGAAUACAUUAGCAUGGAAUAAUGAAAUAGGACGUUCGAUCUUAUUUUGUUGGUUUCUAAGAUUGACGUAAUGAUUAAUAGGGAUAGUUGGGGGCAUUAGUAUUCAAUUGUCAGAGGUGAAAUUCUUGGAUUUAUUGAAGACUAACUACUGCGAAAGCAUUUGCCAAGGAUGUUUUCAUUAAUCAAGAACGAAAGUUAGGGGAUCGAAGACGAUCAGAUACCGUCGUAGUCUUAACCAUAAACUAUGCCGACUAGGGAUCGGAUGAUGUUAAUUUUUUUAAUGUACUCAUUCGGCCG